Oncorhynchus mykiss (rainbow trout) is the source of this 255-nucleotide long non-coding RNA. RefSeq lists it as uncharacterized. The record is from RefSeq and is a predicted model, not a curated record. Lineage: Eukaryota; Metazoa; Chordata; Actinopteri; Salmoniformes; Salmonidae.
CCUAACACGUGUGGGCUGCUUGCUGUUUACAACCUGUUGCUACUGUGGCUUAAUGUGUUUGCCAUGCACUUCGACUGUUGGGAGAUGUGGGAUGGGCUGACGCCGGGGAAACGGCUACCCAUCCCAGCCCCCCUCUGCUCUGCAUGGCCACAGAAGUGAAACCAUGGCCAGACAGACACCUUCCUCUUGAGAGUCAACAGACAACAACAAUUCAGCCUCACGGAAGUUUGAUCAGAAAAAUGUACACAUUCAUUC